GGGGGUGAAAUUGGCUUCGACGGGAUUAUACGAUCUUUGAAUUGCGCACCGUGUUCUCCGAAGACACGUUAAACGUCGGUACAAAAAUAGUCAACGACUAUAACUAUGCAAUAGCCGCCUAAUUUAUUAGGCAGCCGUUCUCUAAAAUCUCUCAUACCGGAUUUUAGAAGAACGUCGCUUAGGUAUGAUAGCCGAUUCGAGAGCUUGAGUAGAGGAGGCGAACUUAUUAUCAAGCUGGCUUGAGCAAAUCUUGUCUGCCGGAGCUGUUUGAGUAAGAAUUAAAUGACAGACUAUGUGUGUAGACAUUCAUUGAUGGGUAAUUUCGGACGCGGGUUCGACUCCCGCCACCUCCACUC
Molecule: transfer-messenger RNA, 356 nt
Filed under: Melioribacteraceae
Lineage: Bacteria; Pseudomonadati; Ignavibacteriota; Ignavibacteria; Ignavibacteriales
Also listed under: 1 other name
Description: f Melioribacteraceae X1 Standard tmRNA
Rfam family: transfer-messenger RNA
About the family: Bacterial tmRNA, also known as 10Sa RNA or SsrA, is named for its dual tRNA and mRNA-like properties. Its role is to liberate the mRNA from a stalled ribosome. To accomplish this part of the tmRNA is used as a reading frame that ends in a translation stop signal.
Source: RNAcentral